GUGAGGAAUAUUGCGCAAUGGAGGCAACUCUGACGCAGCCAUGCCGCGUGCAGGAAGAAGGCGCUACGCGUUGUAAACUGCUUUUAACCGGGAAGAAACCCCAGGACGUGUCCUGGGUUGACGGUACCGGAGGAAUAAGCACCGGCUAACUUCGUGCCAGCAGCCGCGGUAAUACGAAGGGUGCAAGCGUUAUCCGGAUUCAUUGGGUUUAAAGGGUGCGUAGGCGGAGCGUUAAGUCAGUGGUGAAAUCCUGCAGCUUAACUGUAGACUUGCCAUUGAUACUGGCGCUCUUGAGUGCGCUUGAAGUGGGCGGAAUGUGCCGUGUAGCGGUGAAAUGCUUAGAUAUGGCACAGAACACCAAUUGCGAAGGCAGCUCACUAAGGCGAUACUGACGCUGAGGCUCGAAAGCGUGGGGAUCGAACAGGAUUAGAUACCCUUGUAGUCC
Molecule: ribosomal RNA, 445 nt
Filed under: uncultured bacterium
Lineage: Bacteria
Description: bacterial SSU rRNA
Rfam family: Bacterial small subunit ribosomal RNA
Source: RNAcentral